RNAcentral lists this ribosomal RNA (253 nucleotides) under uncultured bacterium. Its description in RNAcentral is "partial 16S ribosomal RNA". It matches the Rfam family "Bacterial small subunit ribosomal RNA", at positions 524 to 776 of the family's 1533-position model. The record is from RNAcentral.
GACGAACCGAGCGAACGUUGUUCGGAUUCAUUGGGCGUAAAGGGCGCGUAGGCUGCGGGGCAAGUCGGGUGUGAAAUCUCAGAGCUCAACUCUGAAACUGCACUCGAUACUGCUUUGCUCGAGGACUGGAGAGGAGAUUGGAAUUCACGGUGUAGCAGUGAAAUGCGUAGAUAUCGUGAGGAAGACCAGUGGCGAAGGCGGAUCUCUGGACAGUUCCUGACGCUGAGGUGCGAAAGCCAGGGGAGCGAACGGG